Molecule: ribosomal RNA, 591 nt
Filed under: fungal endophyte
Lineage: Eukaryota; Fungi
Description: eukaryotic LSU rRNA
Rfam family: 5.8S ribosomal RNA (bases 236-389)
Source: RNAcentral
CGUAGGGUGAACCUGCGGAAGGAUCAUUAUCUAUUCCAUGAGGUGCGGUCGCGGCCCUCGGCGGGAGCAACAGCUACCGUCGGGCGGUAGAGGUAACACUUUCACGCGCCGCAUGUCUGAAUCCUUUUUUUACGAGCACCUUUCGUUCUCCUUCGGCGGGGCAACCUGCCGUUGGAACCUAUCAAAACCUUUUUUUGCAUCUAGCAUUACCUGUUCUGAUACAAACAAUCGUUACAACUUUCAACAAUGGAUCUCUUGGCUCUGGCAUCGAUGAAGAACGCAGCGAAAUGCGAUAAGUAGUGUGAAUUGCAGAAUUCAGUGAAUCAUCGAAUCUUUGAACGCACAUUGCGCCCCUUGGUAUUCCAUGGGGCAUGCCUGUUCGAGCGUCAUCUACACCCUCAAGCUCUGCUUGGUGUUGGGCGUCUGUCCCGCCUCUGCGCGCGGACUCGCCCCAAAUUCAUUGGCAGCGGUCCUUGCCUCCUCUCGCGCAGCACAUUGCGCUUCUCGAGGUGCGCGGCCCGCGUCCACGAAGCAACAUUACCGUCUUUGACCUCGGAUCAGGUAGGGAUACCCGCUGAACUUAAGCAUAUC